UUUGAUUCUGUCAAAUGAGAUUAUGUGGGUAUGGUUCUCUCUGAAUUUAUGUUUUCUUUUGUUUUUAGGAUUUUCUCAGCUAUGUCAUGUAAAGCCCUGUCUUAAACUCACUUUGGGGGCUCUUUUACAUCCUGCUCUGGACUGCAGAGCAGAGACUCACCUCACUCAAUCUGUGCAAUGAAUUGAUUUUUGUCAAUCUUUGCAAACAAUGGUUGGAAGAACAAGCAUAUUGGAGCGUCUUUCAUAUCCUAUAAUAUGGUUGUCAGACCCUGUGGGUUAAAGGGUAGUUACUUGCUAUGAUUGAAAAAUCUUCCCUAUGAGAAGGGCUUAUCUAUAUAUUUUUGUUUGUUUGUUUUGGAAGCCCCAAAAACACAGAAGAGAAGCAUUUAUAGUCACAAACAAAGGAAUGCCAGAAGCCAUUAUAUAUGAGAAAAUACAAAAAUAAAUAAAAUCUUGUCUUAGAGCUUUUAGAGGUAAAAAGUAUAUUUCUGUUUUGUGUAAGGAAACUAAAAUUUCUCUUUGGCCUGACAAUAUUUUGAUGUUUUAAACUUGCUUGUAAUUUCUACCUGUGUUUUGAAUUCACCUAUGCCUGGCUAUCCCUUACCAGAUAACAACCCUCUCUAAAACCUUACUGGUGCCUCAUAAAUUCUGGCUCCUGCUGACCAAAUAACAAUUCUCUCUAUAUCUCAGUGGCAACUUAUAAAUUCUAAUGUCUGGAGCUGAAUUUAUUUUCCACCUUGAAAUGUUAGCCACGUAGAUCCAUAACCUGCUAUUUGCCUUUGUAUUAUGAUUGUCAAAAUCUUGUUAGCUGUAAGUACCUUAGACACCCACCUCCUUUGUAACUUUUUGUGCUGUAAAAACAUUUUCCUGAUGAUCAGGGGGAUGAUCUCUAGCAUGGAAUCUUGUAAGAGACACUCCUGGCCAGCUUUUGUGUACA
This 937-nucleotide long non-coding RNA is filed under the name Marmota monax (woodchuck). Lineage: Eukaryota; Metazoa; Chordata; Mammalia; Rodentia; Sciuridae. The record is from RNAcentral.